RNAcentral lists this ribosomal RNA (406 nucleotides) under uncultured bacterium. RNAcentral's name for it is "partial 16S ribosomal RNA". It matches the Rfam family "Bacterial small subunit ribosomal RNA", at positions 30 to 526 of the family's 1533-position model. The record is from RNAcentral.
AUUGAACGCUGGCGGCAGGCCUAACACAUGCAAGUCGAACGAGUGGCGGACGGGUGAGUAAUAUCUGGGAAUGUGCCUUAUCGCGGGGGAUAACUACUCGACAGGAUGGCUAAUACCGCAUACUAUUAGACACCCCCAUAUGUGAUUAGCUUGUUGGUGGGGUAACGGCUCACCAAGGCGACGAUCCAUAGCUGGUCUGAGAGGAGGACCAGCAACACUGGGACGGAGACACGGCCCAGACGCCUACGGGAGGCAGCAGUGGGGAAUAUUGGACAAUGGGCGCAAGCCUGAUGCAGCCAUGCCGCGUGUAUGAAGAAGGCCUUAGGGUUGUAAAGUACUUUCAGCGGGGAGGCGGUACCCGCAGAAGAAGCACCGGCUAACUCCGUGCCAGCAGCCGCGGUAAUAC